UAGGACUCUCGGCAAUGGAUAUCUCGGCUCUCGCAUCGAUGAAGAGCGCAGCGAAAUGCGAUACGUGGUGCGAAUUGCAGAAUCCCGUGAACCAUCGAGUCUUUGAACGCAAGUUGCGCCUGAGGCCAACUGGCCAAGGGCACGUCCGCCUGGGCGUCAAGC
Molecule: ribosomal RNA, 162 nt
Filed under: Disa cardinalis
Lineage: Eukaryota; Viridiplantae; Streptophyta; Magnoliopsida; Asparagales; Orchidaceae
Also listed under: 2 other names
Description: 5.8S ribosomal DNA
Rfam family: 5.8S ribosomal RNA
About the family: 5.8S ribosomal RNA (5.8S rRNA) is a component of the large subunit of the eukaryotic ribosome. It is transcribed by RNA polymerase I as part of the 45S precursor that also contains 18S and 28S rRNA.
Source: RNAcentral